CCUACGGGUGGCAGCAGUGGGGAAUAUUGCACAAUGGGCGCAAGCCUGGUGCAGCCAUGCCGCGUGUGUGAAGAAGGCCUUCGGGUUGUAAAGCACUUUCAGCGGGGAGGAAGGCGUUAAGGUUAAUAACCUUGUCGAUUGACGUUACCCGCAGAAGAAGCACCGGCUAACUCCGUGCCAGCAGCCGCGGUAAUACGGAGGGUGCAAGCGUUAAUCGGAAUUACUGGGCGUAAAGCGCACGCAGGCGGUCUGUCAAGUCGGAUGUGAAAUCCCCGGGCUCAACCUGGGAACUGCAUUCGAAACUGGCAGGCUAGAGUCUUGUAGAGGGGGGUAGAAUUCCAGGUGUAGCGGUGAAAUGCGUAGAGAUCUGGAGGAAUACCGGUGGCGAAGGCGGCCCCCUGGACAAAGACUGACGCUCAGGUGCGAAAGCGUGGGGAGCAAACAGGAUUAGAUACCCCAGUAGUC
RNAcentral lists this ribosomal RNA (465 nucleotides) under uncultured Klebsiella sp. RNAcentral's name for it is "bacterial SSU rRNA". It matches the Rfam family "Bacterial small subunit ribosomal RNA", at positions 338 to 795 of the family's 1533-position model. The record is from RNAcentral. Lineage: Bacteria; Pseudomonadati; Pseudomonadota; Gammaproteobacteria; Enterobacterales; Enterobacteriaceae.